UCCNGGCCCUACGGGGCGCAGCAGUCGCGAAAACUUCGCAAUGGGGGCAACCCCGACGAGGGAAUUCCAAGUGCCAGCACUUUGUGUUGGCUGUUCUCCUGUCUAAAAAACAGGAGGAGUAAGGGGCGGGUAAGACGGGUGCCAGCCGCCGCGGUAAUACCCGCGCCCCUAGUGGUGGUCGAUAUUAUUGAGCCUAAAACGUCCGUAGCCGGUCUUCUAAAUCCUUAGGUAAAUCGGACAGCUUAACUGUCCGAAUUCCGGGGAGACUGGGAGACUUGGGACCGGGAGAGGUCAGAGGUACUUCUGGGGUAGGGGUAAAAUCCUGUAAUCCUGGAAGGACCACCGGUGGCGAAGGCGUCUGACUAGAACGGAUCCGACGGUGAGGGACGAAGCCCUGGGGCGCAAACGGGAUUAGAUACCCCGGUAGUCCAGGGUGUAAACGCUGCGGGCUUGGUGUUGGGGGUCCUUAGUGGGCGCCCAGUGCCGGAGAGAAGUUGUUAAGCCUGCUGCUUGGGGAGUAUGUCCGCAAGGAUGAAACUUAAAGGAAUUGGCGGGGGAGCACCGCAACGGGAGGAGCGUGCGGUUCAAUUGGAUUCAACGCCGGG
Molecule: ribosomal RNA, 605 nt
Filed under: uncultured euryarchaeote
Lineage: Archaea; Methanobacteriati; Methanobacteriota
Description: bacterial SSU rRNA
Rfam family: Archaeal small subunit ribosomal RNA
Source: RNAcentral